This 24-nucleotide non-coding RNA is filed under the name Arabidopsis thaliana (thale cress). The record is from RNAcentral. Lineage: Eukaryota; Viridiplantae; Streptophyta; Magnoliopsida; Brassicales; Brassicaceae.
CUGUGAAUGAGCAGAGCCUCGUUA